GCGCGCUACGUCCCUCAGACUGGCUGCCCCCGAGGGUUCGCGUGAGCGGAGCACGGGGCUCGGGGUGCGGGGGGCUGGUGUGAUGGACGCAUUUGUUCUUCGGUCCCUGACGAUUGUUUCUCAUUUGCCCUCCAAGCCCCAAAUCCUGUCAGUCCACGGCCUUGAUGGAGCGGCCCCCGUGGGACGACCCUGUUGAUUGUGCUAGCGGAUGUUGUCUCCAUUCUGGAUCUGGGAAAAACUGUGGAGUGAAAGCCGGACCUGUUAGGGUUGGGACCUGAAAGCGGACUUUUUCGCUCUCAGACGGGCCCCAGACGGGAGCUCUUUCAGGCCAGUGGUUUGUUGUUCAUCAAGAUAUCCAAGUACCCGGCAACAUUCCUGGCAUAUAAUAGGAAGGCAGAUCUGGUGAAUGAAUGAAUGAAUGGCGGUAUCUGGAGCAGAGACAAUGAAUUUCAUGUUUAACAGAGGUGUCUUCAAGGAGAUGAAACAAUUCAGAAUGACCUAGGCAAUGGGGUAAUUCCUAAGGAACAAGCUAUUCAUUCAUACAGCAUGGACGAAUAUUAAAUGCAUGUUGCUGAGUGAAAGAAGCCAGAAUGAUAAGGCUACAUCCUGGAAAAGUUUAUAUUCUGGAAAAGGCAAAACUUAUAGAGACAGAAACAAAUCAGCCAGUUGUUGCUGGGGUUUGGGAGAGAAGAAUGUUGACUAUGUGAAGAACAAGGGAUCUUGGGGGGCAUCUAUUCCAUAUGCUACUGUAGGGGUGGAUGCAUGAUACUAUCAUUUGUGGAAAACCAUAGAACUUUACAAAACUAACAGUGAACCUUAAUGUCUGCAAAAUUUUACAAAAUCAACUAGGAGGCUGGGGGAUCCCAGGAUGAAAUACAGGCAAUGACAAAAGAGCCUAACUCUAUUACACAUUUAUAACAUAACCGCACCGAAGAGGACUGGUAUUCUAUAACUGUGGAAAUAAUGGAAACUGGAAAACUGAAGACAAAAGGAACUGUACUUAGCACUAUACUCUAGUUGGUAAAGGCGUUUCUCAAGGGGUACCAGUUAACAAUUCUGAGACUGCUGUACAUGUAUGCAGAGACUGAACAAAUAAGUAAAUGGCUGGUACAUGCUCACUCUCAGGGAGGGAGGCCACAGAUAAACAAGAGGAAGAGGCUCUAAUGUCAUGUGUGGUUGUGGAUUAGAACCAGAAACAUAAAUAUGAACUCAUGUUUAGAUUAAUAUAGAUAUUAAUGGAUUGAUAUAGAAAUAAUGAUGAUAUGGGUAUAUAUACAGGUUAGUAUACAGUCAUAUAUUUCUUAUCCCUAUCCACUGAGAGGGCCUAGAAACAACAAUACUCCAGUAGCAACACACACAUCUCGUGCCCAUAUCUUGAUUUCUUUUGCCAUUUCCUAACAAAAGGAGCCAGGACUUCUUGGAGAAAUGGCUGAUUCUAAGACUGGGUCAGAGAGUAUACCAGAUGACGCUGGCACAUCUUCUACUGCUAGAAAGUAAGGAAAUGCUCAAAAAAUAAAACCACGGAGAUAUUUCAAAGGAACACAGAAGCCAAGUGGAACAGCUCCCAGUGGCCAAAGCUGGAAAAAUUGGGGCAAAAAAAAAAAAAAAAGUAUUAGGUUAUAAUCCAAAAUAUAAAAUAAAUAAUCACCAGCCCGUACUAAUGUGCAUAAAUUAUUGAAUAAAUAAGUAAAUGGGUGAAAAGAGAAAACUCUCUCCCAUACAAAGGAAGCCCAAAUAAUUUAUGUAGAUGAUCGCCCUGCAAUGAGGCAGAGGGCAACUCCCUACCCUGUGUUAAGUGUGGAUGGCACUUAGAGACUUGCUUCUGAAGAGCGCAAUACGGAAAGGAGGGGAGAAGUAACUUGGCAAUGAAGAAACCUGACAAACACCAUCUUCUCCAGGCAGCCAAGGUUAACACCAUCAGUGAUAAGUUACGUUGAUAGCCUGUAUUUUUGAUAUGAUGUGUUGAGAAUGUACUUAGUUUCUGUGGUCUUCUUCCCAAACACCUGACACCAGGCUCACCAGGAGAAAAUGAAUCCAAAUUAAGGGACAUUCUACAGAAUACCUGACCAACACUCCCUCCUAAAAACUGUCAAGGUCAUCAAGGAAUGUCUAGGAAGAAGGAAAGUCUGAGAAGUUGUCUCAGCCCAGAGGAGCCUUAAGAAGCCAUGACAGGUAGGGCGCGGUGGCUCACGCCUGUAAUCCCAGCACUUUGGGAGGUCGAGGUGGGCGGAUCAC
Molecule: long non-coding RNA, 2235 nt
Filed under: Homo sapiens (human)
Lineage: Eukaryota; Metazoa; Chordata; Mammalia; Primates; Hominidae
Description: HSALNT0359794
Source: RNAcentral